Molecule: ribosomal RNA, 515 nt
Filed under: Fusarium acuminatum
Lineage: Eukaryota; Fungi; Ascomycota; Sordariomycetes; Hypocreales; Nectriaceae
Description: eukaryotic LSU rRNA
Rfam family: 5.8S ribosomal RNA (bases 131-284)
Source: RNAcentral
CCCUGUGAACAUACCUUAAUGUUGCCUCGGCGGAUCAGCCCGCGCCCCGUAAAACGGGACGGCCCGCCAGAGGACCCAAACUCUAAUGUUUCUUAUUGUAACUUCUGAGUAAAACAAACAAAUAAAUCAAAACUUUCAACAACGGAUCUCUUGGUUCUGGCAUCGAUGAAGAACGCAGCAAAAUGCGAUAAGUAAUGUGAAUUGCAGAAUUCAGUGAAUCAUCGAAUCUUUGAACGCACAUUGCGCCCGCUGGUAUUCCGGCGGGCAUGCCUGUUCGAGCGUCAUUUCAACCCUCAAGCCCCCGGGUUUGGUGUUGGGGAUCGGCUCUGCCCUUCUGGGCGGCGCCGCCCCCGAAAUACAUUGGCGGUCUCGCUGCAGCCUCCAUUGCGUAGUAGCUAACACCUCGCAACUGGAACGCGGCGCGGCCAUGCCGUAAAACCCCAACUUCUGAAUGUUGACCUCGGAUCAGGUAGGAAUACCCGCUGAACUUAAGCAUAUCAAUAAGCCGGAGGAAA